UAAAGAGUGCGUAACAGCUCACUGGUCGAGCGGCAGAGCAUCGAUAAUAAACGGGCAUCAAGAAUAGUACCGAAGCUUUGGGAUUGCAGCAAUGCAAUCGGUAGAGGAGCAUUCCAAACAGCGGCGAAGGCGAAUCGUAAGGUUUGUUGGAGCGUUUGGAAAAGCAAAUGUAGGCAUAAGUAACGAUAAAAUAGGUGAGAAACCUAUUCGCCGAUAGACUAAGGUUUCCUGAUCAACGUUAAUCGGAUCAGGGUUAGUCGGGACCUAAGGAAAAGCCGAAAGGUGUAUUCGAUGGACAACUGGUUAAUAUUCCAGUACUUGCAUUAAGAGCGAUGGAGAGACGGAGUAGUGAAAGGUCUGCGCACGGACGGAAGUGUGCGUUAAAGCCAGUAGGUAUAAGUUUUGUAGGAAAAUCCGCAAGACUUGCUGAAGGUGAUAGUACCGUGAGGCUUCGGCCAAAUGGAUAAUGACCCUAAACAGACUUCCAAGAAAAUCUUCUAAGCAUAUUUUAAUGGAACCCGUACCGCAAACCGACACAGGUAGUCAAGGAGAGAAUCCUGAGGCGCUCGAGUGAAUCACGGCCAAGGAACUCGGCAAAAUAACCCUGUAACUUCGGGAGAAGGGGAGCCUACCCAGCGAUGGGAGGUCGCAGAGAAAUGGCCCACGGCGACCCGGCCGGGCGGCCGCAGCCGGC
This 694-nucleotide ribosomal RNA is filed under the name Niabella sp. Its description in RNAcentral is "partial 23S ribosomal RNA". It matches the Rfam family "Bacterial large subunit ribosomal RNA", at positions 1124 to 1826 of the family's 2925-position model. Lineage: Bacteria; Pseudomonadati; Bacteroidota; Chitinophagia; Chitinophagales; Chitinophagaceae. The record is from RNAcentral.